UUCGAGUGGCGGACGGGUGAGUAACGCGUGGGUAACCCGCCUUACACAGGGGGAUAACACCUGGAAACAGGUGCUAAUACCGCAUAAGCGCACAGGGCCGCAUGGCCCGGUGUGAAAAACUCCGGUGGUGUAAGAUGGACCCGCGUCUGAUUAGCUUGUUGGCGGGGUAGGGGCCCACCAAGGCGACGAUCAGUAGCCGGCCUGAGAGGGUGGACGGCCACAUUGGGACUGAGACACGGCCCAAACUCCUACGGAAGGCAGCAG
This 264-nucleotide ribosomal RNA is filed under the name uncultured bacterium. RNAcentral describes it as "partial 16S ribosomal RNA". It matches the Rfam family "Bacterial small subunit ribosomal RNA", at positions 90 to 354 of the family's 1533-position model. The record is from RNAcentral.